AUGGAGGACCACAAGAGCCACGCGCAUCGAAAUAAAAAUUUCUGUGCUUUAAUAAUGAAUUGUAGAAUAAAUUCUGCAAUUGUAAAUUCAUUUUUGAAUUCCAGUUUAAUAAACUGCAUUUCAAAAUCCUUUUUCCACUUGCAAUUUAAUAAACUGCAGUUCAAAAUCCUUUUCCACUUGCAAUUUAAUAAACUGCAGUUCAAAAUCCUUUUCCACCUGUAAUUUAAUAAACUGCAGUUCAAAAUCCUUUUUUCCACUUGCAAUUUAAUAAACUGCAGUUCAAAAUCCUUUUUCCACUUGCAAUUUAAUAAACUGCAGUUCAAAAUCCUUUUUCCACUUGCAAUUUAAUAAACUGCAGUUCAAAUCCUUUUUCCACCUGCAAUUUAAUAAACUGCAGUUCAAAAUCCUUUUUCCACUUGCAAUUUAAUAAACUGCAGUUCAAAAUCCUUUUUCCACUUGCAAUUUAAUAAACUGCAGGUCAAAAUCCAUUUCCCUUUCCUGUUCGCUCCGGGAUUAGCUGCUGGAUUAGCUCCUGGAUUAGCUCUUCGAUUAACAACUUGCUGGAGGCUAUUCAAAUUAGCCACACCGUGGGAUGUAAGGAGCUCUCUGAUUGGUUGGUCAGACACAGGCUGUCUGCCAGCCUGGAUUUUUCUAGCUCAUAGCUUCGCCCUGCUACGAAGCGUGUGUGCUUGUACAAAGGCCGUUUAGCGUCGGGAUUUACACUCGGCUCUACACGGAUAUGUGAAGAAUGAAGGGACCCUGCAGCGAAACGGAGAGCCAACCUCUGACUGAGUGCCUGUCUACACAGUCUGACCACCUGUUGAAGGUAAGGUGCUAACGUGGCUAACGCUAGCAUCACCGCACCUAGCCCCGUUAUUUUAAGGUCAUCUUAGCUAAUGAAAGUUUUACGUCGCAGCUGUACAAGCUCGCUACGUGUUUUGUAAGCUGCUGUGCUCUUCACAAAUAAAGCUGGAAGCAGCUCAGACUGUUAGAACCAGCACUGAGGCCUGUUACAUUUAUACAGUGUUAAAGCAAUGGCUGCAACCCACAGCCUUUAAAAUAGCGAUUACAAUGCUGACAGUAAACUCGUCAGUCCAGAUGUUACCACAUUACUCUAUGGUACUUAGAGUUAAAAACAACUGAGACAGGCUGAUUAAAAUAACAGCUGUCAGUUCUCCCAUUCCUUAUAUCAAGACUGGAGAUCACACUACUGAUUUCAGUUCAUUUAAUAUGUGAGUGCACAGAUUCAUUCUCAACUGGACAUAAAUGAUGAUCAAAGGUUGUAUAUAUGAUGAAUUCAUCAAAUCCCAGCCUCUAACACAGCGCGCUGAAUCUUAGCUUUGAAUGUCCAGUAUAUUCUAAUCAGUGCAAUGUAAGCAUUCACCGAACCUAUAGUAUCUACACCUGUGUGGCAAAUGUGUGGUAAAGAUACAGAUAAUGAAAUUUAAUUAUUAAUACAAUAUACAUCAUGAAAAAUGAAAGCUGAAAUUGAUUCAGUUUAGUACUUUUCUCUGUAUGCUCUGUGAUUAUAAAGGCCUUAAAUUCUGUGACAUAUACUGUAAAUAAUUUUCACAGAGGUCUUAAAGUACUUAAAUCACUGCUGAUAGUCUGGUUGUUUACAUUUUCACAUGUUUUUGUGUCUGUAGGGCUGUUUGAUGACGAUUUGGACUCCUCUGGGAGAUGAGGACACACCCACAUCUGUUCCAUACUGCAGCCAUGGAUGGUGUUACAGCUCUGAGUCAGCUUUGGGCCAUCAGACGCACACACUGGAAAACCAGCACCUGGACUUCAUGCAGGAGAGACUGCCUCAGUGAUGUAGGUUCAUAAGCGAGUUCAAACAUUUCUGGCCUCUUAUCACUUAGAUUUUGAAUGCAUUUAAAGCAGGAACUGCACACUAGGGGUGGGUUUUAAUAAUCGAUUCAUCGAUUAAAAUCGAUUCUGGCUUGGAUAACGUGAAAUCGAUUCAUUAAAAUCCUGAGUCGAUUUUUUUAAUAUAAAUUUAUUUUGCCCGAAACGCCAGAAUCUCGAGUGAAACCUCACAAAAUUUCAACAACCACCAAACAGCUAAGACAGUAAAUGAGAUCAGGUACACGGAUUCUGCACAAGGACGUAAACACACAGCGCGGACCCGCGGAUCAGAAUCAGUGAGAUGUCGCCUUUCUCACCCGACGGGCGCUGCAGCUUUAAGCGUCUGCGCGCGUUCCCACGGACGGCAAUCACUUUCUGGCACAACAACUGCACGGACACGGUCGGUGCUGAAAGCUGACAGCUCCCUGAUUCUGAUAUUUCGGCGGGUAGCACUUUGUGUUCACGCCCUUUUUGCGCUGAUUCUAAAGCUGUUAGUUUUAUCUCUCUCCAAACAAUAUUGACCGAAGCAGCAGCAAAAGAAGAUCCAAACUACGCUUCACGUAAACAUCGUCAUGAAUUCCCUCUGACUUUUACUGUUUUGCUUCACCCACGAUAAAAUCACACGUCAUGCACAGCUCCCUCUCUCUCUCUGUGUACUGUUUUCUGCAUUAUUCGCAUUAACAGUAACUCUGUUGUUUACAGCGCUGUCGGCCGCUGUUUUUUUUUUUUGUUUUGUUUUUUCAUUUUACAUUCUUCCGAAAGAAACAGAAUUUCUGCCGUUCAAUACUGAACAAAUUUAAACUUUUUAAAAUUAUGCAAAAUGCAAAACGCUCAGCCGUGUCUCUAAUAAAACCACUGUAACGUCAGAGGUAACGUUCAUAUGUUGAUUAAUGGUUUUCUUUCGUUUUUGAUGUACUGCAGAAUAUUUUAUAAAAUCCCAGGCCAGGAAACCACCUUCAUGUUUUUAUGUUUUAUCUUCAGCUACUUUGACACAAAAGCAUCUGCUGUGACGCUCACACCUUUGAUAAAGUCUUGCGUGUGUCAGCUUCCUUUUUAUAGAUACAAAAAUAUGUCAAUGUACUGAUCUGAAUUAUAUUUCUGUCAAAAUUUCCCAGAUUCAAAUCGAAUUUAAUCGAAUCGUGGAUCGAAUCGAUUCGGGACCUUGUGAAUCGGAAUUGAAUCGAUUCUAGAAAUCAGUGACGAUACCCAGCCCUACUGCACACCUAGCUGUCAAAAGUUUGGCAGCAUGAGUACUGUAAAGUUUUGUAGGGUCCUUGUUAAAAAUUCCACAAGCACCACACCACAUUUGUCAUAUACAGUUCCAUUUUGUACAGGACAUUUUGAAAUUAUAUAUAUAUAUAUUCUAGUUAUCCACUUGUCAGU
Long non-coding RNA from Oreochromis niloticus (Nile tilapia), 3231 nucleotides. Lineage: Eukaryota; Metazoa; Chordata; Actinopteri; Cichliformes; Cichlidae. The record is from Ensembl.